This 425-nucleotide ribosomal RNA is filed under the name uncultured bacterium. RNAcentral describes it as "partial 16S ribosomal RNA". It matches the Rfam family "Bacterial small subunit ribosomal RNA", at positions 354 to 796 of the family's 1533-position model. The record is from RNAcentral.
GUGAGGAAUUUUCCGCAAUGGGCGAAAGCCUGACGGAGCAAUGCCGCGUGAAGGAUGAAGGCCUAUGGGUUGUAAACUUCUUUUCUCAGAAAAGAAUUAUGACGGUAUCUGAGGAAUAAGCAUCGGCUAACUCUGUGCCAGCAGCCGCGGUAAGACAGAGGAUGCAAGCGUUAUCCGGAAUGAUUGGGCGUAAAGCGUCUGUAGGUUGUUUAAAAAGUAUUCUGUCAAAGAUUAGGGCUUAACCCUAGAUAGGCAGAAUAAACUUUUAAGCUAGAGUUUGGUAGAGGCAGAGGGAAUUCCCGGUGGAGCGGUGAAAUGCGUAGAUAUCGGGAGGAACACCAAAGGCGAAGGCACUCUGCUGGGCCAAUACUAACACUGAGAGACGAAAGCGAGGGGAGCAAAUGGGAUUAGAAACCCGGGUGUCC